Molecule: long non-coding RNA, 673 nt
Organism: Eucalyptus grandis
Lineage: Eukaryota; Viridiplantae; Streptophyta; Magnoliopsida; Myrtales; Myrtaceae
Exons: 3
Source: RefSeq, a predicted model, not a curated record
CGGGGUCCAUAGGAGCCAAUUUUAUCAACUGCCCAAGGUGAUUUCGAGUAAGGAAUUUCUAGACAAUCUUGGGCAUAGUGGCCAAUUCUUCCACAAGAGUAGCAGUAAUGAGGCUCACACUGUUUAAGGACGAGCAAAUUACUCGAGUAGGACCAUGGUGCAGAUUGCAUAAUUCUCUCCUUUUCCUCCUCUGAUUGAAAGACGAAGGUUUCCUCGUCAAGUCUCAGAAUCAAAUCACUCCAACAACAAAUGCUGCAUAUAUCCCAGUCGACAUUUCUUCUCUCCAUUAGACGAUGAGGAUGAACUCCUACCUUAAUCAAGCCCCAAGAGCGUGGAUUCCAUCUGACCCAGCCUCGACCAACACAAUUGUUCUCUCGAGUGAAGAGGAGGCCACUGCUCUCAGUGUAAUCUAGAUCGAAUGAGAAAUUUUUUUGGGUUUUCCUUUUUGAAACAUCAUUGUAUGGGAAGGAACAGAGAAAAGCGAGAGUGAUUGUCGUGAUCAACUCUAGGGUUUUGGGGAAAAAACAGCACUACCAGAGGGUAGAGAGAAACUCGCAUAAAACGAGAGAAGGUGAGACUCGCGUUUGUUAAUAAUUGAACUAAGCCAAAUGUACUUCUUUUGUUUAAUUUUCAAGUCAAAAUAUAAAAUAUUAUUCACAUAUUUUUGAAAAUA